AGAGUUUGAUCAUGGCUCAGAACGAACGCUGGCGGUGUGCUUCACACAUGCAAGUCGAACGAGGUAGCAAUACCUAGUGGCGGACGGGUGAGUAACACGUGGGAAUCUUCCUUUGGGUGGGGGAUAGCAGGCCGAAAGGCCUAUUAAUACCGACUAUAUGUGCAUAUUUCGACAGAGGUAUGCAUGAAAGCAGUAAUGCGCCCGAAGAUGAGCCCGCGCCCGAUUAGCUAGUUGGUAGUGUAACGGACUACCAAGGCGACGAUCGUUAGCUGGUCUGAGAGGACGAUCAGCCACACUGGGACUGAGACACGGCCCAGACUCCUACGGGAGGCAGCAGUGGGGAAUAUUGGACAAUGGGGGCAACCCUGAUCCAGCCAUGCCGCGUGAGUGAUGAAGGCCUUCGGGUUGUAAAGCUCUUUUGGCGGGGACGAUGAUGACGGUACCCGCAGAAUAAGCCCCGGCUAACUUCGUGCCAGCAGCCGCGGUAAGACGAAGGGGGCUAGCGUUGUUCGGAAUUACUGGGCGUAAAGCGAGUGUAGGUGGUUGUCAUAGUCAGGUGUGAAAGCCUUGAGCUCAACUCAAGAAAUGCACUUGAUACUGGGCGACUAGAGGACCGGAGAGGAUAGUGGAAUUCCCAGUGUAGUGGUGAAAUACGUAGAGAUUGGGAAGAACACCAGUGGCGAAGGCGGCUAUCUGGACGGUUUCUGACACUAAGACUCGAAAGCGUGGGGAGCAAACAGGAUUAGAUACCCCGGUAGUCC
Molecule: ribosomal RNA, 761 nt
Filed under: uncultured bacterium
Lineage: Bacteria
Description: bacterial SSU rRNA
Rfam family: Bacterial small subunit ribosomal RNA
Source: RNAcentral